UUCAAGUUGAUACUUUAUAUUUAGCUGAGUCGGGGUGUCCGACUGACGCUUCUGUGUUUGUGAAAUUAAAUCAAGGGGCCUUGCUUUGAGAGAUGGUGCAAGCACUUCUUUCAUUUGCCUCCUUUUCCUAUUCCCUUUGCCACCAAUUUCUGGAAUACCUGAACCAUCCAGUGCUAACAUAAACACAGCUAGGGUUGAUCCGACAAAGAUGGGGGUCGGACGGGCCAUUGCUGUACUGACAUCAGGUGGUGAUGCCCAAGGGUGGCACCCCAACUCCUUUUGACAGAAAUUUUGCUACCAAGAUGGGUGCUAAAGAUGUUCUCUGACUGACUGAGAAACUGAAGGAGUGUUACAGACACGACUCUGCGUGUAUGUUGGGCAUGAGGAAGACAGGACUGGUGUUAGCCUCUGGCUGAAUUGAAAGAACAAACAGAUUUUGAACACUGUAUUCCGCAGAACCAGUGGUGGUUGAAGCUGAGGCCUAUUAUGAAGAUCUUGGCCAAGUACAAGAUUAGUCUGGACACCUCUGAACACGCUCUUAUGGAGCAUGUCAUCAGCAGGAAGCCUCCAAUUCACGACUCUCACGUAGUAAUCAUGAGCAAAAAUGUGGGCCGACAGAUACAAAAAAAAAAAAAAAAAAACCAUAUGAAAUGACUGAAUUAUUUAUUUAAAUUAUUUGUUCAUCUGUCUAUUUCUUAUACUUUCAUUUUGUUUGUAUUUAUAGUAUUUAUGGUAAUGCUUGUGCACUAUUUUAUCUGAUACAAAAUCUGACUGAAUAUAAAUUUCUUAGACAAGAAAGAUUUAUUUCCUAUAUAUAAAGGAAACUUUUAUAUAAUUGUCCAGUAAAAGAACUAUGUUCACCACCAAAUGUCAGUCAUGAAUGGAUCAUCCUAGAAAUGCUAUAAUACAUCUGUAUGUUUAUUCAUUGUUAUGCAUUAUUGAAAUAAUGACACACAUUGUCUUAAUUUACAUGUACUGGUUGGAUGAAAUGCUCCUUUACUUUAAACUCCUUU
Molecule: long non-coding RNA, 1013 nt
Organism: Cyprinus carpio carpio
Lineage: Eukaryota; Metazoa; Chordata; Actinopteri; Cypriniformes; Cyprinidae
Source: Ensembl